Molecule: ribosomal RNA, 433 nt
Filed under: uncultured bacterium
Lineage: Bacteria
Description: partial 16S ribosomal RNA
Rfam family: Bacterial small subunit ribosomal RNA
Source: RNAcentral
AACGAACGCUGGCGGCAUGCCUAACACAUGCAAGUCGAACGAGACCUUCGGGUCUUGUGGCGCACGGGUGCGUAACGCGUGGGAACCUGCCCUUAGGUUCGGAAUAACUCCCCGACAGGGGUGCUAAUACCGGAUAAUGUCUUCGGACCAAAGAUUUAUCGCCUUUGGAUGGGCCCGCGUUGGAUUAGCUAGUUGGUAGGGUAAAAGCCUACCAAGGCGACGAUCCAUAGCUGGUCUGAGAGGAUGAUCAGCCACACCGGGACUGAGACACGGCCCAGACUCCUACGGGAGGCAGCAGUGGGGAAUAUUGGACAAUGGGCGAAAGCCUGAUCCAGCAAUGCCGCGUGAGUGAUGAAGGCCUUAGGGUUGUAAAGCUCUUUUACCCGGGAUGAUAAUGACAGUACCGGGAGAAUAAGCUCCGGCUAACUCCGUG